ACGGGGUGCAGCAGGCGCGAAAACUUCACAAUGCUGGCAACAGCGAUGAGGGAAUCCCAAGUGCUAACACAUUGUGUUAGCUGUUUAUUUGUCUAAAAAACAGGUAGAGUAAGGGCUGGGUAAGACCGGUGCCAGCCGCCGCGGUAAUACCGGCAGCUCGAGUGGUAGCCGCUUUUAUUGGGCCUAAAGCGUCCGUAGCCGGUCUGGUAAACCCUUGGGUAAAUCGUAUAGCUUAACUAUACGAAUUCCGAGGAGACUGCCAGACUUGAGACCGGAGAAGGUCGGAGGUACUCCUGGGGUAGGGGUGAAAUCUUAUAAUCCUAGGGGGACCACCAGUGGCGAAGGCGUCCGACUGGAACGGCUCUGACGGUAAGGGACGAAACCCUGGGGCACAAACCGGAUUAGAUACCCGGGUAGUCCAGGGCGUAAACGCUGCAGGCUUGGUGUUGGGGGUCCCGCGAGGGCGUCCAGUGCCGGAGAGAAGUUGUUAAGCCUGCCGCCUGGGAGUACGAUCGCAAG
This 519-nucleotide ribosomal RNA is filed under the name uncultured archaeon. Its description in RNAcentral is "bacterial SSU rRNA". It matches the Rfam family "Archaeal small subunit ribosomal RNA", at positions 325 to 847 of the family's 1478-position model. The record is from RNAcentral.